Molecule: long non-coding RNA, 1066 nt
Organism: Amphiprion ocellaris (clown anemonefish)
Lineage: Eukaryota; Metazoa; Chordata; Actinopteri; Pomacentridae
Source: Ensembl
UAAAGGUAAAUCCAUAUUUUAUUCCAUUCUCUCAUUCCAAUUUUCAAUCCACAAGAAAUUCAAAGUGAGUCCCAGUCAUUGCCAUUGCCAGUCACAAACAUUAUCAGUAUAAAACAGACAACAAAAUACUGAAUUUACAACACAAGCUCAUAUGUGACGGAGUUUCAUGUCAAAAUAUAACACUCACUGUGUUUUAACCUUACUUAUAGUCUGAAGUGUCACUAAGUCUUUUAAAGAUUUCAGAAAUUUGAAGAAAUUCUAGCCGAUAUCAGGUGAUUUGACACACCUUUGAAAUGGAACUCCUCAUUUACACCCAUGUGACAUAGAGCAGUUUUAAAUCACUGCUUUGGUGCCAAAACACUAAACCCUCUGUUUCUUUUUAUACUUUCAGAUCAGAUCCAGGUGUGCAGUCAGAUUUGAGUUUGCGUUGUAAAUCCGAGACUCGAGGCUUUGUGUCCACCAGGUGUUUCUUUGCAGGGAGCAGCUAAACGGUUCCUGUGUCGUGGCUUCACUACAUUAUAAGACUGAAAAAAACAGACUGUUAGAGGAAUUUUUGCUUUAAGUCGAAACAAUCUGAACCUCUAGUGCUCAGUGCCGUAAGCGUUUAAAUCAUGCUAAGGCUGUCAGCACUGUGGGAAACAUGCAGUGUCAUUUCCACUGUAAACAACAAGAACAAGAAACCGAUUCUGAGAAAAUGCUCCCGGUGGACGCAGAGCCUCGUGUAGGUGCAACAUACGUUCCCAGUAACAGCGUCCUGCUUAUGGAACAAAUCUGUGGUAACUCACAAACCAGACAAGAAAAGAAUUUGACACGUUAUGUAGCAUACCAACCAAUAGCUGACAACAUCUUCAAUUAAAACAAGAUUAGUGUUAUAUAUAUAUAUUACCAAAAGCAAAAAAUAUAUUUAUAUAACAUUUAUUUUUAUAUCCCCUCCCUCCCAGGAAAGAAAGAAAACAAAAGAUGUUUCAGUAAGUGGGUAAGUUCAGAUUUCACCUCGUGUUAACUCUAAAGGGAUUGUCACAAAAAGGGAUUUUUGUGAGGAAUCAUCUGAACUCAACUUCUGUAA